This is a long non-coding RNA of Solanum lycopersicum (tomato), 581 nucleotides long. RefSeq lists it as uncharacterized. The record is from RefSeq and is a predicted model, not a curated record. Lineage: Eukaryota; Viridiplantae; Streptophyta; Magnoliopsida; Solanales; Solanaceae.
GGACUUCAAAAGGAACCCAGAAUUUUCAGAGACAGGACAGUAUCAGAAACCUCAAAAGGGACUUGUACGCACCUCACACCAAGGCGUGAACGACGCUCCAAAGACGAAAGACACGUCCCCUUGCUGGAAGUACAAUUUUGCACAGAUUUUUCUUGCGAUUCCCGUUGCUGUCUUGUCCUCCCCAGCAUGCGAAAUCAUCCUUGCGCCUUGGGAUUGAGCCGCGUGGCAUAGCAAGGAUUAUUGAAGAAUUUUGGGGUGUUGAUUCUCCUAAUCCUGUUCUAGAAUGGGACGAUUUUUGGCAAAAAGGUUGUUCAUCCUAUAAUGUUUAGAAGUUGGUCGUCUCCCUGCUUAACGAGUUCCCGGAACGCUGCUCAGAAGAAGAUCAUAUUAGGUGGCGCGAUAAGGAAAGAGGUUUCGCCUAUUUAUAUUUGGUUGUUCUCCGUCACUGGCAUACGCUUAUUCCUUUUGAAAAUGUUUGUUGUUUAAUUAUCAAUGGAUGCAUUGGGUUUAUUCAAAGCCAUCUGAUCACAAGUUGACCUUUGCUUGACUAUCUCAAAUAAAAAUCUCAAUUUUUUUAAUUA